This 76-nucleotide ribosomal RNA is filed under the name Vibrio fluvialis. Its description in RNAcentral is "partial 16S ribosomal RNA". It matches the Rfam family "Bacterial small subunit ribosomal RNA", at positions 1 to 76 of the family's 1533-position model. The record is from RNAcentral. Lineage: Bacteria; Pseudomonadati; Pseudomonadota; Gammaproteobacteria; Vibrionales; Vibrionaceae. RNAcentral also lists the same sequence under 1 other name.
UAAUUGAAGAGUUUGAUCAUGGCUCAGAUUGAACGCUGGCGGCAGGCCUAACACAUGCAAGUCGAGCGGCAGCGAC